RNAcentral lists this ribosomal RNA (253 nucleotides) under uncultured Lachnospiraceae bacterium. Its description in RNAcentral is "partial 16S ribosomal RNA". It matches the Rfam family "Bacterial small subunit ribosomal RNA", at positions 524 to 776 of the family's 1533-position model. The record is from RNAcentral. Lineage: Bacteria; Bacillati; Bacillota; Clostridia; Lachnospirales; Lachnospiraceae.
UACGUAGGGGGCAAGCGUUAUCCGGAUUUACUGGGUGUAAAGGGAGCGUAGACGGUUUUUCAAGUCUGAAGUGAAAGCCCGCAGCUCAACUGCGGGACUGCUUUUGAAACUGCCAAGCUAGAGUGUCGGAGAGGUAAGUGGAAUUCCUAGUGUAGCGGUGAAAUGCGUAGAUAUUAGGAGGAACACCAGUGGCGAAGGCGAUUUGCUGGACUGUAACUGACACUGAGGCACGAAAGCGUGGGGAGCAAACAGG